GUAAGGACUGUUGGGCUAUGUGCUGAGG
RNAcentral lists this non-coding RNA (28 nucleotides) under Cricetulus griseus (Chinese hamster). The record is from RNAcentral. Lineage: Eukaryota; Metazoa; Chordata; Mammalia; Rodentia; Cricetidae.